CUUGCUGUUAUCUCAGAGGGGAUGUCUGAGAGGCUCAUUCUGGUCAUUAGCAAACAGAGUCUGUUUCUGGCCCAGUUGGAGAAACUUAAAAGCACACCAAUGAGCAGAGAGAACCCUCCAAGAAACGAUGAUAACUCCAGCCAAGCACAGUCCGGUCCAGAUACCUCUUUAGUUUUUCCAACAGUGCUGAGGAUGGCCAUAAACAGAAGAGAUUCUGAUCUGAAGAGUGCAAGUAAAACAAAACUACGGAGUCUACUGAUCCAGUCUCUUUUUGACCACCUCAGGCCAUGCUCAGACCUGCCCUCCUGACACACCAACACCUAAAAUGGUGCUCAAAGGCUGCAGGGAGGGUCAUCCCAUGCAAUACGACCACAUUGUCGUCAUGUUGGAUGGCCAGUCCAUUACUGAGGAGAGUGAGGACAUUUCAAUGGCACUGGGCCUCAUCCUUUGUAUAUAUUUUCUGUUUGGGAUCCAAUAUCCUAAAGGACUGAAAAAGACACUGACCUUCCUGGAGUGCGUUGUCUUAAAAAUGAAGGAUGCAGCCAGACUUCCUGUCACAAUUAAAAGAGUGUACAACUCAAUCUGUGCAUAGAGUCUCUCUCUCUCUCUCUCUCUCUCUCUCUCUCUCUCUCUCUCUCUCGGGCCUAUUCCAAUUUCUGUUUUUUUUUUCCUUUAGCCGGUGUUGUUAAUGUUAAAAAGCACUGAUUAUAUUUGCAACUAAAAGAAAUGAAUUAAACUAUUUUAAGUGUAAUGUAUUUUGUUUAUCAGUAACCUUUUAGUACAGGAUUUUGAAUCUUUCAAUCCAUGAUUUGGUAUAAAAGCGUCAUUUAGAAGCAUAUUGACUCAAACAUUGUAGUAUAUGGCAUGAUAAUGGCCUACUACCUAAAAAAAAAAGGUUCUAUAAAGCACCAUUUGACAAAUGUGCUAUAAAGCUUAAGUGCCAUUAAUGCCAAAAGAGGUUCCCCUAUAACGAGCUAAAGAACCACUGUUGCGCACCAUUUUUGUUGAAGAAAUUGUAAACAAUCAAGGUGCUUUAUGUCCAGCACCUUUAAAGAAAGUGGCUGUCAUAUGAUUACGAGCCAAAGAACCACCUUUAGUGCUAUUUAGCAACUUUUUUUUUAGAGUGCAGUUAAUAAACAUAUGCAUAUAACCA
Molecule: long non-coding RNA, 1153 nt
Organism: Cyprinus carpio (common carp)
Lineage: Eukaryota; Metazoa; Chordata; Actinopteri; Cypriniformes; Cyprinidae
Source: Ensembl